UCCGGGGUCGUCCAACGGCAGGACAUACGGCUCUGGACCGUAGAAUCGGGGUUCAAAUCCCUGCCCCGGAA
This 71-nucleotide transfer RNA is filed under the name Nitrospinota bacterium. RNAcentral's name for it is "tRNA-Gln". It matches the Rfam family "tRNA". Rfam says of the family: Transfer RNA (tRNA) molecules are approximately 80 nucleotides in length. Their secondary structure includes four short double-helical elements and three loops (D, anti-codon, and T loops). The record is from RNAcentral. Lineage: Bacteria; Pseudomonadati; Nitrospinota.